GAUGAGGUAGCUCAGUGGUAGAGUGUGUGCUUAGCAUGCACGAGGUCCUGGGUUCAAUCCCCAGUACCUUCA
RNAcentral lists this transfer RNA (72 nucleotides) under Camelus bactrianus (Bactrian camel). It matches the Rfam family "tRNA". From Rfam's summary of the family: Transfer RNA (tRNA) molecules are approximately 80 nucleotides in length. Their secondary structure includes four short double-helical elements and three loops (D, anti-codon, and T loops). Further hydrogen bonds mediate the characteristic L-shaped molecular structure. tRNAs have two regions of fundamental functional importance: the anti-codon, which is responsible for specific mRNA codon recognition, and the 3' end, to which the tRNAs corresponding amino acid is attached (by aminoacyl-tRNA synthetases). tRNAs cope with the degeneracy of the genetic code in two manners: having more than one tRNA (with a specific anti-codon) for a particular amino acid; and 'wobble' base-pairing, i.e. permitting non-standard base-pairing at the 3rd anti-codon position. The record is from Rfam by way of RNAcentral. RNAcentral also lists the same sequence under 2 other names. Lineage: Eukaryota; Metazoa; Chordata; Mammalia; Artiodactyla; Camelidae.